RNAcentral lists this ribosomal RNA (620 nucleotides) under uncultured bacterium. RNAcentral's name for it is "bacterial SSU rRNA". It matches the Rfam family "Bacterial small subunit ribosomal RNA", at positions 40 to 655 of the family's 1533-position model. The record is from RNAcentral.
CGGCAUGCCUUACACAUGCAAGUCGAACGGCAGCACGGGGGCAACCCUGGUGGCGAGUGGCGAACGGGUGAGUAAUACAUCGGAACGUGCCCAGUAGUGGGGGAUAGCCCGGCGAAAGCCGGAUUAAUACCGCAUACGACCUACGGGUGAAAGCGGGGGAUCGCAAGACCUCGCGCUAUUGGAGCGGCCGAUGUCAGAUUAGGUUGUUGGUGAGGUAAAAGCUCACCAAGCCGACGAUCUGUAGCUGGUCUGAGAGGACGACCAGCCACACUGGGACUGAGACACGGCCCAGACUCCUACGGGAGGCAGCAGUGGGGAAUUUUGGACAAUGGGGGCAACCCUGAUCCAGCCAUGCCGCGUGCGGGAAGAAGGCCUUCGGGUUGUAAACCGCUUUUGUCAGGGAAGAAAUCUUUUGGACUAAUACCCCAGAGGGAUGACGGUACCUGAAGAAUAAGCACCGGCUAACUACGUGCCAGCAGCCGCGGUAAUACGUAGGGUGCAAGCGUUAAUCGGAAUUACUGGGCGUAAAGCGUGCGCAGGCGGUUGUGCAAGACAGGUGUGAAAUCCCCGGGCUUAACCUGGGAACUGCACUUGUGACUGCACAGCUGGAGUACGGCAGA